Molecule: ribosomal RNA, 463 nt
Filed under: uncultured bacterium
Lineage: Bacteria
Description: bacterial SSU rRNA
Rfam family: Bacterial small subunit ribosomal RNA
Source: RNAcentral
AACGAACGCUGGCGGCGCGCCUAAUACAUGCAAGUCGAGCGAGAAGACGUAGCAAUACGUUUGUAAAGCGGCGAACGGGUGAGGAAUACAUGGGUAACCUACCCUCGAGUGGGGAAUAACUAGCCGAAAGGUUAGCUAAUACCGCGUACGCUCCUUGGACUUCGGUUCAGGGAGGAAAGCGAUACCGUGGGUAUCGCGCUCUUGGAUGGGCUCAUGUCCUAUCAGCUUGUUGGGAGGUAACGGCUCACCAAGGCUUCGACGGGUAGCUGGUCUGAGAGGACGAUCAGCCACACUGGCACUGCGACACGGGCCAGACUCCUACGGGAGGCAGCAGUAAGGAAUAUUGCGCAAUGGGCGAAAGCCUGACGCAGCGACGCCGCGUGGGGGAUGAAGGUCUUCGGAUUGUAAACCCCUUUCGGGAGGGAAGAUGGAACGAGCAAUCGUUCGGACGGUACCUCCAGAA